Molecule: long non-coding RNA, 268 nt
Organism: Stegodyphus dumicola
Lineage: Eukaryota; Metazoa; Arthropoda; Arachnida; Araneae; Eresidae
Source: RefSeq, a predicted model, not a curated record
CCACGUUGUUCGAAGAGGUUCAUUGAAAGUUUUUUUCAGUUCUUUUCUCUGGUUAUUUAAGCUGAUCAUAAGAUGGAUGUUUCGCAAGGACGAUCACCGGAAUUCACCCGAUUCUCUUUCUGUGAGCAAACAACCCAAAUCCUGGUAUCGCUGUAGUGUUUGUGGGACAUCUCGAAAAACACCAGACAGGAAAUUUUUCAGAUUUCCUAAGGAUCCUAUUAGAUCAAAACAAUGGGCUCCCGCAUGCAGUAAUCAAGACUUGUUAAAU